AGCCGCCCUCGUCCCGCCCCGCCCAGGCCCCGCCCCCCGGAGCCCCGCCCACGCCCCGCCCUCGACCCGCCCCCCGAGCCCCCGCCCUCGACCCGCCCCCCGAGCCCCCGCGCGCAGACCCCGCCUCCGACGCCCUGACCCGCGGGGCCCCUCGGGGGCGGGGCCGGCCUCCUGCGCAGGCGCGGCCGCGGGGUCGCCCGUCAGUGACGUCACAGGCGGCGCGUCAGACCCCGCGCCCCGAGCCCGGCUGCCGGCUGGAACCUGCGGGUGCGGCGUCCGAGGGGCGCGGCGACGGGGACGGGGACGGGGACGGGGAGGCCCGCGGAGCCCCCGGCGGUCGGAGGGACGCGGAGGCCGAGACGCGGGGCCGCCCCGGCCCGGCCCGGGAGGACCCGAGGAUGAAGGAUCCUGCCGCAGGUUUAUUUGUACAAACAGCACAGGAGGACACCAGGCCCGUGUACACGGAAGCCCAGCACUGGAGCCUCGGUGGGGGCCUGGGCACCUUUGGGAGCCUGCACUGCUGAGGCUUUUGCUUCGUUGCAAAGGAGAACGGGGAAAGGCCGUCCCUGAGACGCACACGAAUGAAAGAAACAGCCACCACGUCAGUACUGGAGAGAAACCCCUUGCGGCUCCCUGUGCCUGCCAGCAUCUGGGGUCCCCACAGCUGCCCUGA
This 673-nucleotide long non-coding RNA is filed under the name Canis lupus familiaris (dog). RNAcentral's name for it is "lncRNA (ENSCAFG00030000069.1)". Lineage: Eukaryota; Metazoa; Chordata; Mammalia; Carnivora; Canidae. The record is from RNAcentral.